This 253-nucleotide ribosomal RNA is filed under the name uncultured bacterium. RNAcentral describes it as "partial 16S ribosomal RNA". It matches the Rfam family "Bacterial small subunit ribosomal RNA", at positions 524 to 776 of the family's 1533-position model. The record is from RNAcentral.
UACGGGGGGAGCAAGCGUUGUUCGGAAUUACUGGGCGUAAAGGGCUCGUAGGCGGCCAACUAAGUCAUACGUGAAAUCCCUCGGCUUAACCGGGGAACUGCGUCUGAUACUGGAUGGCUUGAGUUCGGGAGAGGGAUGCGGAAUUCCAGGUGUAGCGGUGAAAUGCGUAGAUAUCUGGAGGAACACCGGUGGCGAAGGCGGCAUCCUGGACCGAUACUGACGCUGAGGAGCGAAAGCCAGGGGAGCAAACGGG